GCAGUGAGUUCAAUGGCAGAGUGCUUGCCUAGCAUGCAUGAGGCCUUGGGUUUGAUCCCCAAUACUGCA
RNAcentral lists this transfer RNA (69 nucleotides) under Urocitellus parryii (Arctic ground squirrel). RNAcentral describes it as "Spermophilus parryii (Arctic ground squirrel) tRNA". It matches the Rfam family "tRNA". From Rfam's summary of the family: Transfer RNA (tRNA) molecules are approximately 80 nucleotides in length. Their secondary structure includes four short double-helical elements and three loops (D, anti-codon, and T loops). RNAcentral also lists the same sequence under 1 other name. The record is from Rfam by way of RNAcentral. Lineage: Eukaryota; Metazoa; Chordata; Mammalia; Rodentia; Sciuridae.